UCAACACUACAACCAGACGGCGCGGCUCAC
Molecule: non-coding RNA, 30 nt
Filed under: Bombyx mori (domestic silkworm)
Lineage: Eukaryota; Metazoa; Arthropoda; Insecta; Lepidoptera; Bombycidae
Source: RNAcentral